CCCCCUUCUAUCAAUCCCGUUUUCCAGGCAUGGUGAGACAGAAAGCCUAUAUAUUUGAUGGUUUUGGAAAUUAUUACAACAAAGAAUGGGAUCUUGCUGAAGGCAGAGGCAAUGAAUUCUGUUGGUACCAUGUAGAACUUCCAAAAAGUAACCAGAAACUAUCACUGUCAGCACAAUGCCUCAUUGAUGUUCUUUGCCCUCCUUUGAAGCUCCAAGACAUUUUGGCACUAGUUAGCAAUGGACCAUAUUGUACUCAUGUUGAUGGGGCUCUUGUGUUUAGAGUUAAUUCUCCUGGACCUCC
This 301-nucleotide unclassified non-coding RNA is filed under the name Hevea brasiliensis (rubber tree). The record is from RNAcentral. Lineage: Eukaryota; Viridiplantae; Streptophyta; Magnoliopsida; Malpighiales; Euphorbiaceae.